UACGGAGGGUGCAAGCGUUAUCCGGAUUCACUGGGUUUAAAGGGUGCGUAGGCGGGUAUGUAAGUCAGUGGUGAAAUCCCCGAGCUUAACUCGGGAACUGCCAUUGAUACUAUAUAUCUUGAAUAUUCUGGAGGUAUGCGGAAUAUGUCAUGUAGCGGUGAAAUGCUUAGAGAUGACAUAGAACACCUAUUGCGAAGGCAGCUGACUACGGGAACAUUGACACUGAGGCACGAAAGCGUGGGGAUCAAACAGG
RNAcentral lists this ribosomal RNA (253 nucleotides) under uncultured bacterium. RNAcentral describes it as "partial 16S ribosomal RNA". It matches the Rfam family "Bacterial small subunit ribosomal RNA", at positions 524 to 776 of the family's 1533-position model. The record is from RNAcentral.